This 171-nucleotide unclassified non-coding RNA is filed under the name uncultured fungus. RNAcentral describes it as "sequence contains ITS1, 5.8S rRNA gene". Lineage: Eukaryota; Fungi. The record is from RNAcentral.
CUGGGUUAAAAACAGGCUUUCUAGCCUGCCACCCGCCCUCUGUCAUUCGCAAUUAUCUUGCUUCGGCCGCUGGUUGCGCGAGUGUACUCUGUAUGUUCGCGGGGCCACGGUCGGUCUCCCAACUCUUUGAAUAUAUGUAUGAAGUCUGAAGAAAAAGAUAAAUGAAAAGCA